Molecule: ribosomal RNA, 468 nt
Filed under: uncultured bacterium
Lineage: Bacteria
Description: partial 16S ribosomal RNA
Rfam family: Bacterial small subunit ribosomal RNA
Source: RNAcentral
GACGAACGCUGGCGGCGUGCUUAACACAUGCAAGUCGAACGGAAAGGCCCUGCUUUUGUUGGGUGCUCGAGUGGCGAACGGGUGAGUAGCACGUGAGUAACCUGCCCUUGACUUUGGGAUAACUUCAGGAAACUGGGGCUAAUACCGGAUAGGUGCUCCUGCUGCAUGGUGGGGGUUGGAAAGUUUCGGCGGUUGGGGAUGGACUCGCGGCUUAUCAGCUUGUUGGUUGGGUAGUGGCUUACCAAGGCUUUGACGGGUAGCCGGCCUGAGAGGGUGACCGGCCACAUUGGGACUGAGAUACGGCCCAGACUCCUACGGGAGGCAGCAGUGGGGAAUAUUGCACAAUGGGCGGAAGCCUGAUGCAGCAACGCCGCGUGCGGGAUGACGGCCUUCGGGUUGUAAACCGCUUUCGCCUGUGACGAAGCGUGAGUGACGGUAAUGGGUAAAGAAGCACCGGCUAACUACGUG